RNAcentral lists this ribosomal RNA (349 nucleotides) under bacterium. RNAcentral's name for it is "bacterial SSU rRNA". It matches the Rfam family "Bacterial small subunit ribosomal RNA", at positions 28 to 362 of the family's 1533-position model. The record is from RNAcentral.
GACAAACGCUGGCGGCGUGUAUUAGGCAUGCAAGUCGAGCGAGAAGCCGGCCUUCGGGCUGGUGGAGAGCGGCGGACGGGUGAGUAACACGUGGGUAAUUUGCCCUCGGGUGGGGAAUAACCCCGGGAAACCGGAGCUAAUUCCGCAUAAUGCAGCCGGUCAAAAGGCCGGCUACCAAAGCUGGGGAUCCUUCGGGACCUGGCGCCUGGGGAGAAGCCUGCGCCCAAUUAGCUUGUUGGUGAGGUAACGGCUCACCAAGGCUGCGAUUGGUAACCGGCCUGAGAGGGCGGACGGUCACACUGGAACUGAGACACGGUCCAGACUCCUACGGGAGGCAGCAGUGAGGAAU